GUGAACGCUGGCGGCGUGCCUAAUACAUGCAAGUCGAACGAUGAAGCUUUUAGCUUGCUAGAAGUGGAUUAGUGGCGCACGGGUGAGUAAUGCAUAGGUUAUGUGCCCUUUAGUCUAGGAUAGCCACUGGAAACGGUGAUUAAUACUGGAUACUCCCUACGGGGGAAAGUUUUUCGCUAAAGGAUCGGCCUAUGUCCUAUCAGCUUGUUGGUGAGGUAAUGGCUCACCAAGGCUAUGACGGGUAUCCGGCCUGAGAGGGUGAACGGACACACUGGAACUGAGACACGGUCCAGACUCCUACGGGAGGCAGCAGUAGGGAAUAUUGCUCAAUGGGGGAAACCCUGAAGCAGCAACGCCGCGUGGAGGAUGAAGGUUUUAGGAUUGUAAACUCCUUUUGUGAGAGAAGAUUAUGACGGUAUCUCACGAAUAAGCACCGGCUAACUCCGUGCCAGCAGCCGCGGUAAUACGGAGGGCGCAAGCGUUACUCGGAAUCACUGGGCGUAAAGAGUGCGCAGGCGGGUAGUCAAGUCAGAUGUGAAAUCCUAUAGCUUAACUAUAGAACUGCAUUUGAAACUGAUUAUCUAGAGUGUGGGAGAGGUAGGUGGAAUUCUUGGUGUAGGGGUAAAAUCCGUAGAGAUCAAGAGGAAUACUCAUUGCGAAGGCGACCUACUGGAACAUUACUGACGCUCAUGCACGAAAGCGUGGGGAGCAAACAGGAUUAGAUACCCUGGUAGUCCACGCCCUAAACGAUGAAUGCUAGUUGUUGCCCUGCUUGACAGGGCAGUAAUGCAGCUAACGCAUUAAGCAUUCCGCCUGGGGAGUACGGUCGCAAGAUUAAAACUCAAAGGAAUAGACGGGGACCCGCACAAGCGGUGGAGCAUGUGGUUUAAUUCGAAGAUACGCGAAGAACCUUACCUAGGCUUGACAUUGAUAGAAUCCUAUAGAGAUAUGGGAGUGCCCUUUUAGGGAGCUUGAAAACAGGUGCUGCACGGCUGUCGUCAGCUCGUGUCGUGAGAUGUUGGGUUAAGUCCCGCAACGAGCGCAACCCUCGUCCUUAGUUGCUAACUAUUCGGUAGAGCACUCUAAGGAGACUGCCUUCGCAAGGAGGAGGAAGGUGAGGAUGACGUCAAGUCAUCAUGGCCCUUACGCCUAGGGCUACACACGUGCUACAAUGGGAAGCACAAAGAGAUGCAAUAUUGUGAAAUGGAGCAAAUCUAUAAAACUUCUCUCAGUUCGGAUUGUAGUCUGCAACUCGACUACAUGAAGCUGGAAUCGCUAGUAAUCGUAAAUCAGCUAUGUUACGGUGAAUACGUUCCCGGGUCUUGUACUCACCGCCCGUCACACCAUGGGAGUUGUAUUCGCCUUAAGUCGGAAUGCCAAACUGGCUACCGCCCACGGCGGAUG
Molecule: ribosomal RNA, 1404 nt
Filed under: uncultured Helicobacter sp.
Lineage: Bacteria; Pseudomonadati; Campylobacterota; Epsilonproteobacteria; Campylobacterales; Helicobacteraceae
Description: bacterial SSU rRNA
Rfam family: Bacterial small subunit ribosomal RNA
Source: RNAcentral